RNAcentral lists this transfer-messenger RNA (351 nucleotides) under Hyphomonadaceae bacterium. It matches the Rfam family "Alphaproteobacteria transfer-messenger RNA". From Rfam's summary of the family: Bacterial tmRNA, also known as 10Sa RNA or SsrA, is named for its dual tRNA and mRNA-like properties. The record is from RNAcentral. Lineage: Bacteria; Pseudomonadati; Pseudomonadota; Alphaproteobacteria; Hyphomonadales; Hyphomonadaceae.
CCAAUUGCGCCAAGGCGCGAUCGAGCCUAUAUCAGGCAUGUUCGCGCAAGCGAACUAUGGCGAUAAACGCGCGUGUAAUAAGCGGCUCGGACCCGGGUGCGAUUCCCGGCGGCUCCACCAAUCGCGGUCGUUGGCUGCGCUGCGGGGCCGAUCAGGAUCGACGGACGUGUAAAGACGAGGCUUUCGCUCGGGUGGUCCCGAUAUAGGCCAUUGCAAUAGUUGCCAACGACAACUUUGCUGAAGAGGUUCGCUUGGCCGCGUAAGCGGUCCGGUGGAUUUCGCCUUAAGCCCUAGGCCCUUAGCCGGCCUAGGCGGGGCCGCCCGGGCGCCUGGCAACAGAAGCCCCGGGGU